GAUGAACGCUGGCGGCGUGCCUAAUACAUGCAAGUCGAGCGAAUGGAUUAAGAGCUUGCUCUUAUGAAGUUAGCGGCGGACGGGUGAGUAACACGUGGGUAAACUGCCCAUAAGACUGGGAUAACUCCGGGAAACCGGGGCUAAUACCGGAUAACAUUUUGAACAGCAUGGUUAGAAAGUGAAAGGCGGCAUCGGCUGUCACUUAUGGAUGGACCCGCGUCGCAUUAGCUAGUUGGUGAGGUAACGGCUCACCAAGGCAACGAUGCGUAGCCGACCUGAGAGGGUGAUCGGCCACACUGUGACUUAGACACGGCCCAGACUCCAACGGGAGGCAGCAGUAGGGAAUCUUCCGCAAUGGACGAAAGUCUGACGGAGCAACGCCGCGUGAGUGAUGAAGGCUUUCGGGUCGUAAAACUCUGUUGUUAGGGAAGAACAAGUGCUAGUUGAAUAAGCUGGCACCUUGACGGUACCUAACCAGAAAGCCACGGCUAACUACGUGCCAGCCGCCGCCGUAA
RNAcentral lists this ribosomal RNA (515 nucleotides) under uncultured bacterium. RNAcentral's name for it is "partial 16S ribosomal RNA". It matches the Rfam family "Bacterial small subunit ribosomal RNA", at positions 28 to 523 of the family's 1533-position model. The record is from RNAcentral.